This 492-nucleotide ribosomal RNA is filed under the name uncultured bacterium. RNAcentral's name for it is "partial 16S ribosomal RNA". It matches the Rfam family "Bacterial small subunit ribosomal RNA", at positions 899 to 1397 of the family's 1533-position model. The record is from RNAcentral.
ACUCAAAUGAAUUGACGGGGACUUGCACAAGCGGUGGUCCAUGUGGUUCAAUUCGACGACAAACGAAAAACCUUACCAGGGUUAGACAUCCAAUCGAAGCCUAGAGGAAACUUUAGGCGUCUCACAAGGACGGUUGGACAGGUGCUGCAUGGUUGUCGUCAGUUCGUGGUUUGAACUGUUCCCUUAAGUGGGGUAACGAACGCAACCCUCGUUGCCUGUUAUAUAUGUCAGGCGAGACUGCUCCCUUACGGGAGAGGAAGGUGAGGAUGACGCCAAAUCAGCAUGGCCCUCUGAUACCCUGGGCUACACACGUGGAACAAUCGCUGCUACAACGGGUUGCAAAGCCGAGAUAAGGCCGAGCCAAUCCUUAUAAAAGCAGCGCCAGUUCGGAUUGAGGUCUGCAACUCGACCUCAUGAAGCCGGAAUCGCUAGUAAUCGCGGAUCAGCAUUGCCGCGGUGAAUACGUUCUCAAGUCUUGUACACACCGCCCGU